GAACGCUGGCGGCGUGCUUAACACAUGCAAGUCGAACGGGAUCCAUCAGGCUUUGCUUGGUGGUGAGAGUGGCGAACGGGUGAGUAAUGCGUGACCGACCUGCCCCAUACACCGGAAUAGCUCCUGGAAACGGGUGGUAAUGCCGGAUGCUCCAGUUGAUCGCAUGGUCUUCUGGGAAAGCUUUCGCGGUAUGGGAUGGGGUCGCGUCCUAUCAGCUUGACGGCGGGGUAACGGCCCACCGUGGCUUCGACGGGUAGCCGGCCUGAGAGGGCGACCGGCCACAUUGGGACUGAGAUACGGCCCAGACUCCUACGGGAGGCAGCAGUGGGGAAUAUUGCACAAUGGGCGCAAGCCUGAUGCAGCGACGCCGCGUGAGGGAUGGAGGCCUUCGGGUUGUAAACCUCUUUUAUCGGGGAGCAAGCGAGAGUGAGUUUACCCGUUGAAUAAGCACCGGCUAACUACGUNNCAGCAGCCGCGGUAAUACGUAGGGUGCAAGCGUUAUCCGGAAUUAUU
This 513-nucleotide ribosomal RNA is filed under the name Bifidobacterium longum. RNAcentral's name for it is "bacterial SSU rRNA". It matches the Rfam family "Bacterial small subunit ribosomal RNA", at positions 31 to 555 of the family's 1533-position model. Lineage: Bacteria; Bacillati; Actinomycetota; Actinomycetes; Bifidobacteriales; Bifidobacteriaceae. The record is from RNAcentral.